UAAAAUUCCCAGAUCUUCAGGGAUCUAAGAUGAGAUAUGAGACAGAAUUACUUACAAGCAGUCAACUCCAAAUAUGUCCAGGAUUUAAACAGAGAAAUUCAACAGUCAUUUGGUUCUUUUUUUCAUUCUUAUGAAGCCCUUUCAUCCCUACAUUCAGCAUGAAGCAUUCAUCAAGUAAUCUCUUAAAAAUAAAUACGAAUAUAUUUGGUACAAAAGUCUCUAUACACACUAGUAAAGUAUGAUAAACUGGAAUAAAUGGAGACUCUGAAAGAGUGCAGUCAUAAUACACCAGGAAGUCCACACAGAAGCACAUUGGAGAUGACGUAUACUUACUUUCAAGUGGCAUAUCACAACUUGUGUCUUGGCAAGAGUGAUGGGCCCAUCAUGCAAGUGUCAACCAUUUGCAGCUAUUUGCCAAUUCUGCAUAAACCGAAGACCUCACUGAGUCUUAGUUAUCUUGUUAUUGAAGACAGAAUAUUUGGAUAACAA
RNAcentral lists this long non-coding RNA (489 nucleotides) under Homo sapiens (human). RNAcentral's name for it is "HSALNT0318871". Lineage: Eukaryota; Metazoa; Chordata; Mammalia; Primates; Hominidae. The record is from RNAcentral.